RNAcentral lists this ribosomal RNA (465 nucleotides) under uncultured bacterium. Its description in RNAcentral is "partial 16S ribosomal RNA". It matches the Rfam family "Bacterial small subunit ribosomal RNA", at positions 338 to 795 of the family's 1533-position model. The record is from RNAcentral.
CCUACGGGUGGCAGCAGUGGGGAAUAUUGCGCAAUGGGCGAAAGCCUGACGCAGCGAUGCCGCGUGAGGGAUGAAGGUCUUCGGAUUGUAAACCUCUGUCAGCAGGGAAGAACGGUCACUGUGCUAAUCAGCAGUGACUUGACGGUACCUGCACAGGAAGCACCGGCUAACUCCGUGCCAGCAGCCGCGGUAAUACGGAGGGUGCGAGCGUUAAUCGGAAUUACUGGGCGUAAAGCGCUCGUAGGCGGUAUGUCAAGUCAAGGGUGAAAUCCCCGCGCUCAACGUGGGAACUGCCUUUGAAACUGGCAAACUGGAGUGUGUGAGAGGUAAGUGGAAUUCCAAGUGUAGGAGUGAAAUGCGUAGAUAUCAGGAGGAACAUCAGUGGCGAAGGCGACUAUCUGGCACAUAACUGACGCUGAGGAGCGAAAGCGUGGGUAGCAAACAGGAUUAGAUACCCUUGUAGUC